RNAcentral lists this ribosomal RNA (229 nucleotides) under uncultured bacterium. Its description in RNAcentral is "partial 16S ribosomal RNA". It matches the Rfam family "Bacterial small subunit ribosomal RNA", at positions 568 to 796 of the family's 1533-position model. The record is from RNAcentral.
UGCGUAGGCGGAAUAAUAAGUCAGUGGUGAAACCCUGCAGCUUAACUGUAGACUUGCCAUUGAUACUGUUUUUCUUGAGUAUGGUCAAGGCAGGCGGAAUGUGUAAUGUAGCGGUGAAAUGCUUAGAUAUUACACAGAACACCGAUAGCGAAGGCAGCUUGCUGGGCCGUUACUGACGCUGAUGCACGAAAGCGUGGGGAUCGAACAGGAUUAGAUACCCUGGUAGUCC